This 253-nucleotide ribosomal RNA is filed under the name uncultured bacterium. RNAcentral describes it as "partial 16S ribosomal RNA". It matches the Rfam family "Bacterial small subunit ribosomal RNA", at positions 524 to 776 of the family's 1533-position model. The record is from RNAcentral.
UACGUAGGGUGCAAGCGUUGUCCGGAAUUAUUGGGCGUAAAGAGCUUGUAGGCGGUUUGUCGCGUCUGCUGUGAAAUUUCGGGGCUCAACCCCGAACUUGCAGUGGGUACGGGCAGACUAGAGUGUGGUAGGGGAGACUGGAAUUCCUGGUGUAGCGGUGAAAUGCGCAGAUAUCAGGAGGAACACCGAUGGCGAAGGCGGUUCUCUGGGACGGUACUGACGCUGAGGAGCGAAAGCGUGGGGAGCGAACAGG